Molecule: ribosomal RNA, 1412 nt
Filed under: metagenome
Description: bacterial SSU rRNA
Rfam family: Bacterial small subunit ribosomal RNA
Source: RNAcentral
AAAGGGUGCGUAACACGUGGGCAACCCGCCGAAAAGUGGGGGACAGCUCGCCGAAAGGCGAAUUAAUACCGCAUGUGGUCCUGACACGGCAUCGUAUCAGGACUAAAGUCGGGGCAACCUGACACUUUUCGAUGGGCCCGCGGCCUAUCAGCUUGUUGGUGGGGUAACGGCCUACCAAGGCGGCGACGGGUAGCUGGUCUGAGAGGAUGACCAGCCACACUGGGACUGAGACACGGCCCAGACACCUACGGGUGGCAGCAGUCGAGAAUCUUUCACAAUGGGGGAAACCCUGAUGGAGCGACGCCGCGUGGAGGAUGAAGGUUUUCGGAUCGUAAACUCCUGUCAUGAGGGAGCAAGGUCCUGCCCAGUAACUGGGGUAGGGAUUGAUAGUACCUCAAGAGGAAGAGACGGCUAACUCUGUGCCAGCAGCCGCGGUAAUACAGAGGUCUCAAGCGUUGUUCGGAUUUACUGGGCGUAAAGGGUGCGUAGGCUGCGGUGUAAGUCGGAUGUGAAAUCUCAGGGCUCAACCCUGAAACUGCAUCCGAUACUGCUCCGCUAGAGGACUGGAGAGGAGACUGGAAUUCACGGUGUAGCAGUGAAAUGCGUAGAUGUCGUGAGGAACACCGGUGGCGAAGGCGGGUCUCUGGACAGUUCCUGACGCUGAGGCACGAAGGCCAGGGGAGCGAACGGGAUUAGAUACCCCGGUAGUCCUGGCAGUAAACGGUGCACGUUUGGUGUGGGAGGAUUCGACCCCUUCCGUGCCGGAGCUAACGCGUUAAGCGUGCCGCCUGGGGAGUACGAUCGCAAGAUUAAAACUCAAAGAAAUUGACGGGGGCCCGCACAAGCGGUGGAGUAUGUGGCUUAAUUCGAUGCAACGCGAAGAACCUUACCUGGGUUUGACAUGCAUCUCUAAGCCGGUGAAAGCCGGUGAGCCUAGCAAUAGGCAAUUUGCACAGGUGCUGCAUGGCUGUCGUCAGCUCGUGUCGUGAGAUGUUGGGUUAAGUCCCGCAACGAGCGCAACCCCUGUGAGCUGUUGCCACCCCCGAGCGAUCGGGGAGCACUCUGCUCAGACUGCCCUGCCAAACGGGGAGGAAGGUGGGGAUGACGUCAAGUCAGCAUGGCCCUUACGCCCAGGGCUGCACACGUACUACAAUGUCCAGUACAGAAUGAACCAAAACCGCGAGGUGGAGGGAAUCUCCAAAACUGGGCCCAGUUCAGAUUGGAGGCUGCAACUCGCCUCCAUGAAGUCGGAAUCGCUAGUAAUGGCGCAUCAGCUACGGCGCCGUGAAUACGUUCCCGGGCCUUGUACACACCGCCCGUCACAUCAUGGGAGUCAUUUGUACCCGAAGCACGUGAGCUAACCGCAAGGAAGCAGCGUUCGAAGGUAUGGGUGGCGACUGGGAUGAAGUCGG